Molecule: long non-coding RNA, 125 nt
Organism: Thalassophryne amazonica
Lineage: Eukaryota; Metazoa; Chordata; Actinopteri; Batrachoidiformes; Batrachoididae
Exons: 3
Source: RefSeq, a predicted model, not a curated record
GGAGAAAUACAGCUGAGCACAGUCUGAGAAAUGGGCUUCAAAAACUACUUGGAGCCAGAGUUGCGGUGAAAGAAAGAUUUUAUCUGUGUGUUUAAUGGUGGGAACACAAAGACUCAGAUAAAGUG